RNAcentral lists this ribosomal RNA (253 nucleotides) under uncultured bacterium. RNAcentral describes it as "partial 16S ribosomal RNA". It matches the Rfam family "Bacterial small subunit ribosomal RNA", at positions 524 to 776 of the family's 1533-position model. The record is from RNAcentral.
UACGAAGGGUGCAAACGUUGCUCGGAAUCAUUGGGCGUAAAGCGCACGUAGGCGGCGAUCUAAGUCGGAUGUGAAAUCCCUCGGCUCAACCGAGGACGUGCAUCCGAAACUGGAUUGCUCGAGUAUGGAAGAGGGUCGCGGAAUUCUCGGUGUAGAGGUGAAAUUCGUAGAUAUCGGGAGGAACACCAGUGGCGAAGGCGGCGACCUGGGCCAAUACUGACGCUGAGGUGCGAAAGCGUGGGGAGCAAACAGG